AACAAGUACAGUUUUGCACGGUUAUGUCCAACGUUUGACAGUCCGCUUUAAUUGAAUUUUUUUAUGAUUAUUAUUUUUUUACUAGAUGAUAAAACAUGAAUAAUGCUUGAUAUAUAACUUAAAAAAAUUUAUAAAAUUUUCAAAUAAGACGGAUGGUUAAACGUUGAAUAUGAAAAUCCACGAUUGCACUUAUC
Non-coding RNA from Oryza meridionalis, 194 nucleotides. NCBI's taxonomy places the organism in Eukaryota, Viridiplantae, Streptophyta, Magnoliopsida, Poales, Poaceae. The record is from Rfam.